CAUGGCUUCGACGGGGAGGGCUGUUUCAGAGUUGCAAGCCGUGGAGUCUGACCACGUUAAAACAGGCAACUGAUAGAUGCGAACACUCGCACCAACCUCGCCGCUCUUCCAGUCGCCGCGUAAGCGUUGACUGAAUUAGCGACCAGGUUCGCGACCUAGCGUUGCGACGUCCACGCGCGUUCUCCCCCGAAGGACGCGCGGCGGGCGACACCAAGUCGGGGUGCGGCGAUUGCCACGCCGGUAACAAUCGUCCAAGCGGGGUAACACCCAACACGGCUGGCGCGCUCAACUUUGUCGGUUGAGUCCGGGCGCGUGAAAUCAAAGACCGACUACGCUUGUAGUAACUCUGGGGCGAACUUUUCGGACGCGGGU
Molecule: transfer-messenger RNA, 372 nt
Filed under: Chloroflexota bacterium
Lineage: Bacteria; Bacillati; Chloroflexota
Description: Chloroflexi bacterium (freshwater metagenome) transfer-messenger RNA
Rfam family: transfer-messenger RNA
About the family: Bacterial tmRNA, also known as 10Sa RNA or SsrA, is named for its dual tRNA and mRNA-like properties. Its role is to liberate the mRNA from a stalled ribosome.
Source: RNAcentral